This 444-nucleotide ribosomal RNA is filed under the name Holothuria mammata. Its description in RNAcentral is "partial 16S ribosomal RNA". It matches the Rfam family "Bacterial large subunit ribosomal RNA", at positions 1966 to 2625 of the family's 2925-position model. Lineage: Eukaryota; Metazoa; Echinodermata; Holothuroidea; Aspidochirotida; Holothuriidae. The record is from RNAcentral.
CAUUUGUCUUUUAAAUGAAGACUUGUAUGAACGGCAAAACCUCCUCCAACUGUCUCCCCUCCCAUCCUUCCAAAUUUCCUCCUGUGUGAAGAAGCACAGAUACACCAGAAAGACGAGAAGACCCCGUCGAGCUUUAACCACUAAGUGGGCCUUACCCUUUCAGGCACCACCCAAAGGUUUUGGUUGGGGCAACCACGGAGAAAAAACAUCCUCCAGAACGAAUAGAAGAAAGCUUUUCACUAUUAUUACGACUAAGAACCAGGAACUGGUAUUCGGAAAGAGUUACCGCAGGGAUAACAGCGUCAUCUCCUCUAAGAGUCCUUAUUGACGAGGAGGUUUGCGACCUCGAUGUUGGAUUGGGGCCCCCUUAGGGUGCAGAAGCUCUAAACGGUUAGACUGUUCGUCUAUUAAAGCCCUACAUGAUCUGAGUUCAAAACCGGAGAU